CUCUUAGCUUCUUCCUACUCCCGACUCUCUCACUCUCUCGUGCGGGAGCUGCCAUUAAUUUCAGGGCUUAAAUGAAGAUCUGAAACAGGUAAGAGUCUAGAUUUCAUCAAUUUCAACCUUAGUGAUUUCCUAAUUAGGGAUUUACAAUGUUGAAACCCUAAUUAGGGAUUUACUAUGUUGAAACCCUAAUUAGGGAUUUUUCAGGUUUUUGGAGUCGAGGAAUGGUCGAAUUAGGGUUUCAAAGAGCUACAUUCCUAUGAGCUUGAAUUAUGGGUUUUGGAGGUUUUAGGGUUUCUGCCUUAGCAGCUGCGGCAUGGGGAAAUCUCCAGGAAAAUGGAUCAAGACGGUUCUGUUCGGGCAGAAAUCUUCUAGAUCUGAAGCAUCGAAAGGAAGAGAGGCUUUGAUCUUUUGAGGGAGAUGUUUGUGAACCAAAGGGAAUGAACUUUGUGCUUUGGAUUUUGCCAUGGAAGGUGGCAGUGAUCCGGAAGGGAGUCAGUUUCUGAGGUUUCUCUUUUCUCCAUUUUCAUUUUUUUUUUCAUUUAAGAAUGUUAAAUUGUGUCAAUCUCUAUGGAAAGAACUGCAGUUUUAAAUUUUGAAGUUGUCAGUUAUUGGAAAGAUCCUUAACCACUCAACAGGGCCAAAUAAAUAAACCACAACAAGGUCUUCAAAUCUGAGUUGUUCGUAGUACAUGGGCCACCCAGAAUAAUGCCAAGUACAAAUUGAAAACUGAGCUUAGUGGGCCAACUCUUGGACUGAGCAUUCUAUGAUAUCUCUAUCUUUUAAUCUUCACCAUUCCUUUAGAGGCCACAAAUCCAUGGCUAGAACUGCAUAUUAAAGUCUGUUUAUGUACGAAGUCAUUGGUCACCACAGCUGAAUGUUGUCACAAACUUCUACAUAUAGCCAAUCCUUUUCUGGAACUUACAGUCAUUUUAUCUUUAAAAAUAUCCACUACUCAUGCAACGAUUGUACAUAAACUUCUACAUAUAGCCAAUCCUUUUCUGCCUAAGUGUCAUACAUGUAUAACAUCUGAUUUGUUCAAAAGGUUUGAUGGACCAUAGUGAUCAUCAUAGAUAAAAAUCAGACUUAUCCACUCAUUGGGUGGGUCACACCAGUACACUGAUGAUGAUC
This is a long non-coding RNA of Magnolia sinica, 1128 nucleotides long. RefSeq lists it as uncharacterized. NCBI's taxonomy places the organism in Eukaryota, Viridiplantae, Streptophyta, Magnoliopsida, Magnoliales, Magnoliaceae. The record is from RefSeq and is a predicted model, not a curated record. The transcript has 3 exons.